Molecule: long non-coding RNA, 739 nt
Organism: Eleginops maclovinus (Patagonian blennie)
Lineage: Eukaryota; Metazoa; Chordata; Actinopteri; Perciformes; Eleginopidae
Exons: 3
Source: RefSeq, a predicted model, not a curated record
UAUACCCGGAACGAUAACACGGGGUUGUUUCCACGGGGACUGUUCUAAUUGCGCACACUGGGAGUUGGAGGGCUUUGGAGACAGAACAGCUAAAUGUGUUUCAGAAAAAAGCUGGAUUGCUCAAUCUGGAUGAGGAGGGAGCCGCUGCCACAAGUAAAGGAGUUCAGACAUUUGAACUCAUCUGAAUCAUACGGCUAAAGAAAGACUCAAAAAUAUCUUCAUUUGGUGCUAAUUGUGGAUGCAGGUUUUCAAAUUUAGCAUAGGGAGUUUUGUGUGUCAUAUCAGUCGGGUAGUAAAAAAAAUGAAAAUCAACCUGCUGCUAUCAUUCAAGAUUCAAAGUUUCUAAGAACAGCAGUUGUCAACACAGCCUCACUUAAAGAAUGUCCUCAUCUAAUAAAUAAAUAUGAAUGUCAAGAUUUCUUUGACAAGUGACUAACUCCAACUGCUGAUGAAGAUCCUGGUAUGUUAUCAAAAGCUCUGGGACAGCUAAUGGGUCAUAUUCAUAAUCAAAAGGGCUCGCUCAGUGUUUGGCAUUACCCCAGACUACAUUGAGGUCAAAAGAGCAAGGUCUGAAAUGUAAUACUACAAACUAACUGUGUAUUUUGAAGGCCAUGUAUUAUGCAGCCUCAGUAGCGUAUAAAGUUAUCAAAUUAGGAUGCCUCCAUGCUAUACCAAGCAAAUCUGAAGGUGUUUUGUUCCAGAAAUGGUCAGUUUUUUAAAUAAAGACUUGUUUUUUACA